GAAAUGCGAUACGUAAUGUGAAUUGCAGAAUUCCGUGAAUCAUCGAAUCUUUGAACGCACAUUGCACUCUGUUUCGGCAGAGUAUGCCUGUUUGAGAAUCUAUAGUAUUCAUUUUCCAACUUUGGGUAUUUAUAUCUAAGGAAGGAGAGAUUUGAGGCGUCGCACUAACCCUGCGUGCUUUUAAAACUAUAGCUGCUGGAUACUGUCAAGUAACGGAAAAGUAUGUGUAUGGGACUUCGGUUUCUCUAAUACCCAGUACGUGUGAUGGAAUUUGUCUGGCACUCACCUAUUAAAGUUAGCCUUCGGGUUAACUUGAACCAUGGUCUCAAAUCAGGCAGGAAGACCCGCUGAACUUAA
This 357-nucleotide unclassified non-coding RNA is filed under the name uncultured Chytridiomycota. RNAcentral's name for it is "sequence contains ITS1". The stretch from base 1 to 101 matches the Rfam family "5.8S ribosomal RNA", at positions 50 to 154 of the family's 154-position model. Lineage: Eukaryota; Fungi; Chytridiomycota. The record is from RNAcentral.